RNAcentral lists this ribosomal RNA (250 nucleotides) under uncultured bacterium. RNAcentral's name for it is "partial 16S ribosomal RNA". It matches the Rfam family "Bacterial small subunit ribosomal RNA", at positions 524 to 773 of the family's 1533-position model. The record is from RNAcentral.
UACGAAGGGUGCAAACGUUGCUCGGAAUCAUUGGGCGUAAAGCGCACGUAGGCGGCUUGACAAGUCGGAUGUGAAAUCCCUCGGCUCAACCAAGGAAGUGCAUCCGAAACUGUCGAGCUUGAGUACGAAAGAGGAUCGCGGAAUUCCCGGUGUAGAGGUGAAAUUCGUAGAUAUCGGGAGGAACACCAGUGGCGAAGGCGGCGAUCUGGGUCGAUACUGACGCUGAGGUGCGAAAGCGUGGGGAGCAAAC